GGCCGCCACCCCCUGUAACAGCGACUCCAUGUGGAAGUGUCUUUCUGUGUUCCAGUGGGGCUGCUGUUACCCAGGGUGCUGGC
Erinaceus europaeus (western European hedgehog) is the source of this 83-nucleotide non-coding RNA. The record is from Rfam. NCBI's taxonomy places the organism in Eukaryota, Metazoa, Chordata, Mammalia, Eulipotyphla, Erinaceidae.